RNAcentral lists this ribosomal RNA (401 nucleotides) under uncultured bacterium. RNAcentral's name for it is "bacterial SSU rRNA". It matches the Rfam family "Bacterial small subunit ribosomal RNA", at positions 8 to 412 of the family's 1533-position model. The record is from RNAcentral.
AGAGUUUGAUCCGGCUCAGAUUGAACGCUGGCGGCAGGCCUAACACAUGCAAGUCGAGCGGAUGAGUGGAGCUUGCUCCAUGAUUCAGCGGCGGACGGGUGAGUAAUGCCUAGGAAUCUGCCUGGUAGUGGGGGACAACGUUUCGAAAGGAACGCUAAUACCGCAUACGUCCUACGGGAGAAAGUGGGGGAUCUUCGGACCUCACGCUAUCAGAUGAGCCUAGAUCGGAUUAGCUAGUUGGUGAGGUAAAGGCUCACCAAGGCGACGAUCCGUAACUGGUCUGAGAGGAUGAUCAGUCACACUGGAACUGAGACACGGUCCAGACUCCUACGGGAGGCAGCAGUGGGGAAUAUUGGACAAUGGGCGAAAGCCUGAUCCAGCCAUGCCGCGUGUGUGAAGAA